Molecule: ribosomal RNA, 496 nt
Filed under: uncultured bacterium
Lineage: Bacteria
Description: partial 16S ribosomal RNA
Rfam family: Bacterial small subunit ribosomal RNA
Source: RNAcentral
GAUGAACGCUGGCGGCGUGCCUAAUACAUGCAAGUCGAGCGAACGGACGAGAAGCUUGCUUCUCUGAUGUUAGCGGCGGACGGGUGAGUAACACGUGGAUAACCUACCUAUAAGACUGGGAUAACUUCGGGAAACCGGAGCUAAUACCGGAUGAUAUUUUGAACCGCAUGGUUCAAAAGUGAAAGAUGGUCUUGCUGUCACUUAUAGAUGGAUCCGCGCUGCAUUAGCUAGUUGGUAAGGUAACGGCUUACCAAGGCAACGAUGCAUAGCCGACCUGAGAGGGGGAUCGGCCACACUGGAACUGAGACACGGUCCAGACUCCUACGGGAGGCAGCAGGAGGGAAUCUGCCGCAAUGGGCGAAAGCCUGACGGAGCAACGCCGCGUGAGUGAUGAAGGUCUUCGGAUCGUAAAACUCUGUUAUUAGGGAAGAACAUAUGUGUAAGUAACUGUGCACAUCUUGACGGUACCUAAUCAGAAAGCCACGGCUAACUACGU